CAAUCGGCCCUUCUCAGGGCCAUCAAUAUUUUUUAAACGUAAAAC
Molecule: non-coding RNA, 45 nt
Organism: Nasonia vitripennis (jewel wasp)
Lineage: Eukaryota; Metazoa; Arthropoda; Insecta; Hymenoptera; Pteromalidae
Source: Rfam